UACGGAGGGUGCAAGCGUUAUCCGGAUUUACUGGGUUUAAAGGGUGCGUAGGUGGGUAGGAAAGUCAGUGGUGAAAUCUUCGGGCUUAACCCGGAAACUGCCAUUGAUACUAUUUAUCUUGAAUACUUUGUAGGUAAGCGGAAUAUGUCAUGUAGCGGUGAAAUGCUUAGAUAUGACAUAGAACACCAAUUGCGAAGGCAGCUUACUACACAGUUAUUGACACUGAGGCACGAAAGCGUGGGGAUCAAACAGG
This 253-nucleotide ribosomal RNA is filed under the name uncultured bacterium. Its description in RNAcentral is "partial 16S ribosomal RNA". It matches the Rfam family "Bacterial small subunit ribosomal RNA", at positions 524 to 776 of the family's 1533-position model. The record is from RNAcentral.